Molecule: ribosomal RNA, 391 nt
Filed under: uncultured Rhodocyclaceae bacterium
Lineage: Bacteria; Pseudomonadati; Pseudomonadota; Betaproteobacteria; Rhodocyclales; Rhodocyclaceae
Description: bacterial SSU rRNA
Rfam family: Bacterial small subunit ribosomal RNA
Source: RNAcentral
UCGGAACUUGUCAGAGAUGACUUGGUGCCUUCGGGAACCGAGAGACAGGUGCUGCAUGGCUGUCGUCAGCUCGUGUCGUGAGAUGUUGGGUUAAGUCCCGUAACGAGCGCAACCCUUGUCAUUAGUUGCCAUCAUUUGGUUGGGCACUCUAAUGAGACUGCCGGUGACAAACCGGAGGAAGGUGGGGAUGACGUCAAGUCCUCAUGGCCCUUAUGGGUAGGGCUUCACACGUCAUACAAUGGUCGGUACAGAGGGUUGCCAACCCGCGAGGGGGAGCUAAUCCCACAAAGCCGAUCGUAGUCCGGAUCGCAGUCUGCAACUCGACUGCGUGAAGUCGGAAUCGCUAGUAAUCGUGGAUCAGCAUGUCACGGUGAAUACGUUCCCGGGUCUU